RNAcentral lists this ribosomal RNA (330 nucleotides) under uncultured eukaryote. RNAcentral's name for it is "partial 18S ribosomal RNA". It matches the Rfam family "Eukaryotic small subunit ribosomal RNA", at positions 1470 to 1796 of the family's 1831-position model. The record is from RNAcentral.
CCCUUAGAUGUCCUGGGCCGCACGCGCGCUACACUGAUGGAAGCAACGAGUUUAUAACCUUGGCCGAGAGGUCUGGGUAAUCUUUUGAAAUUUCAUCGUGAUGGGGAUAGAUUAUUGCAACUAGAAUCUUAAACGAGGAAUUCCUAGUAAGCGCAAGUCAUCAGCUUGCGUUGACUACGUCCCUGCCCUUUGUACACACCGCCCGUCGCUCCUACCGAUUGGAUGGUCCGGUGAAGUCUUGGGACCGCGACAACGUUACUGGUUCGCCAGAUAUGUCGUUGUGGAAACUUGACUAAACCUUAUCAUCUAGAGGAAGGAGAAGUCGUANCA